RNAcentral lists this ribosomal RNA (116 nucleotides) under Pteropus alecto (black flying fox). Lineage: Eukaryota; Metazoa; Chordata; Mammalia; Chiroptera; Pteropodidae. The record is from RNAcentral.
GUCUAUGGCCAUGCCACCCUUAACAAGCCCUAUCCUGUCUGAUCCCAUUUGAUCAGGGUCGGGCCUGGUUAGUACUUGGAUGGGAGAUCACCUAGGAAGACCAGGUGCUGUAGGCA